CAGCAGCCGCGGGAAUACAGAGGGUGCGAGCGUUAAUCGGAUUUACUGGGCGUAAAGCGUGCGUAGGCGGUUUUUUAAGUCGGAUGUGAAAUCCCUGAGCUUAACUUAGGAAUUGCAUUCGAUACUGGGAAGCUAGAGUAUGGGAGAGGAUGGUAGAAUUCCAGGUGUAGCGGUGAAAUGCGUAGAGAUCUGGAGGAAUACCGAUGGCGAAGGCAGCCAUCUGGCCUAAUACUGACGCUGAGGUACGAAAGCAUGGGGAGCAAACAGGAUUAGAGACCCCGGUAGUCCCUGUCUCUUAUAC
RNAcentral lists this ribosomal RNA (301 nucleotides) under uncultured bacterium. Its description in RNAcentral is "partial 16S ribosomal RNA". It matches the Rfam family "Bacterial small subunit ribosomal RNA", at positions 509 to 807 of the family's 1533-position model. The record is from RNAcentral.